UGUCGUACAAGGUAGCCGUAGGGGAACCUGCGGCUGGAUCACCUCCUUUCUAAGGAUGGUUCUUCAGAAGCUUGCUUCUAUCGAACCGUUUUAGAAACAUCAGUGGCCAACAGAUCGCCAGAUCGUUGAGCUGCAUUGGCGGGAUUUCGCCGUCUUCGUUUCUCUUUCUUCGCGGACGAACACGCGCUGGGCCUGCAUCGAGCAGGAUCCCACGGUCCCUGACGGGAUAUGCGUUAGGGGCUUGUAGCUCAGUUGGUUAGAGCGCGCGCUUGAUAAGCGUGAGGUCGGAAGUUCAAGUCUUCCCAGGCCCACCACUUUCAGUGAGCAUUCGUCUUCUGGUUACGGGGCCAUAGCUCAGCUGGGAGAGCGCGUGCUUUGCAAGCAUGAGGUCGUCGGUUCGAUCCCGUCUGGCUCCACCAGAUGGUUUGAUCACCGAGAUCUUGUACCGUCGUCCGCGAAACAUCACUUCGCAUCCUGCUAGUCUGGAUAGACAGCAAGAUGCGUGUUUUCUGACAUCGUAAAGAGGAGAUCGAUCCGAGUUGGGUCGUGCAGCAGAUUGUUGCGCGGAUCCUUCAUUAUCUCCGGAUCAUUUUCGGCGCUCGCCUUCAGCCGUGAGGUUGAAUGCGAGUUGUAAAAUGAUCCUUUUAGCGAAGCUUGACCGCCUCGCUAUCGGAACGAUCUUACGAAGCAAGCUGGUCUUUCUAGUCAAUGUCCGGCUGCAGAUAGCGUUCAUCGAGGGCGCGUGCCUUAGAGACUUCGGUUUCUCGGCAAUUCUGCAGACAACAUUCUGCCGAGUGUGUGGACAUUGAUAAUGAGAGCAAUCAAGUGCCUUAAGGGUGUUCGGUGGAUGCCUUGGGC
RNAcentral lists this unclassified non-coding RNA (858 nucleotides) under Bradyrhizobium yuanmingense. Its description in RNAcentral is "partial 16S-23S ribosomal RNA intergenic spacer". The stretch from base 238 to 311 matches the Rfam family "tRNA". Lineage: Bacteria; Pseudomonadati; Pseudomonadota; Alphaproteobacteria; Hyphomicrobiales; Nitrobacteraceae. The record is from RNAcentral.